UACGAAGGGGGCUAGCGUUGCUCGGAAUCACUGGGCGUAAAGCGCACGUAGGCGGGUUUCUAAGUCAGGGGUGAAAUCCUGGAGCUCAACUCCAGAACUGCCCUUGAUACUGGAGAUCUUGAGUCCGGAAGAGGUAAGUGGAACUGCGAGUGUAGAGGUGAAAUUCGUAGAUAUUCGCAAGAACACCAGUGGCGAAGGCGGCUUACUGGUCCGGUACUGACGCUGAGGUGCGAAAGCGUGGGGAGCAAACAGG
Molecule: ribosomal RNA, 253 nt
Filed under: uncultured bacterium
Lineage: Bacteria
Description: partial 16S ribosomal RNA
Rfam family: Bacterial small subunit ribosomal RNA
Source: RNAcentral